This 643-nucleotide long non-coding RNA is filed under the name Sus scrofa (pig). RNAcentral's name for it is "lncRNA (ENSSSCG00065031356.1)". The record is from RNAcentral. Lineage: Eukaryota; Metazoa; Chordata; Mammalia; Artiodactyla; Suidae.
GACUGUACGUUGGGAAGGUUAGCAGAGGGGAGGGAGGCCUCCACUGUCACACUGAGCGCGGUCCCGGCUCCUUGUCCCUAUCCACCCCUCCCCCGCCCCCAGCACCCCGGCAGCCCCUCGCUGUCCCCUUCACUUCCAUCUCCAAGAAAGUGGACCUGACCCCUACAGCAUCAUUUUGGCCAAAAGUCGUUCUCUCCCCUUUCUGAAGGCUUAUUUGUGGUCCUUUUUAGGAUUUCAAAGCCCCAAACAGAUCUACCCACUGAGGCGGCGGAGAAAAGGAGUUCGGCAGGUGCAGCGCUGUCAGGAGAUGAGACAAGCUAGACACACACCUGCUCUGAGACAGGUGCUCAGUCAGUGCUUGUUGAUGGAUGCAUGGAAGCCUGGGAGGGAGGAGGGAGGUGUGGCCUCUGGAAAAGAUGUGAGAGAAAGUUUUCUGAAAGAAGGAUAAGAGUGGUAUCUGCACAUCUGAGCUAUGAAUUCCGCGUAGGAGACGCAUUUCCAUGAGAAACGGGUAAACGUUUGCGAGACUGUGGCUGACCCUUUUUUUUUAUUAUCCAUCAAGUAUAUCUCUUUUUACCAUCUGAUGGCUUGGCGUCAGGACCAUUCUUUUUUCAAACAAAAUAAAUGUGCCUGCAACGUGGCA